AUGGGGUUAAUCUCAUCUUGAUCCACACACAGACUUCAUAAGUACUUGACUGUACCUAAUAGCCUUUCAUCACUGUAUUAGAAAUCUAGAUAGUCUGGCACCAAAACACAGUGAGUUAUUUAUAAGUCACUAUGGUAAUCUCAGGUUUAAGGGAUACUUAUACCCAUAUACUUCGUGAGUAGCUCUUGACAGCAGAAUGCUCGACUAGUGAGUCACCUAUUUAGUGAUGAUGUACUCC
This 238-nucleotide long non-coding RNA is filed under the name Elaeis guineensis (African oil palm). RNAcentral describes it as "long non-coding RNA (EGUI_LNC044765)". Lineage: Eukaryota; Viridiplantae; Streptophyta; Magnoliopsida; Arecales; Arecaceae. The record is from RNAcentral.